UUUGUAGCCACCUUCUUGUUCCUUUACAUCACCGUCUUGACUGUCAUGGGUGUGUCUCAGUCUAAAACCAAAUGUGCAACCGUUGGUAUUCAAGGCAUUGCUUGGGCUUUUGGUGGCAUGAUCUUUGCUCUUGUUUACUGUACUGCCGGCAUUUCAGGUCAUCUUUCCCCUUCUUCUUUUUUUAUCUUGAUCUUGUUGAAGAUGACGAAGAUUUAGUGGUAAAAAGAUGUUUAAUAACCAGAUCUGGGUUUGUUUUUCAGGUGGUCAUAUUAACCCUGCUGUGACCUUUGGGUUGUUUCUAGCAAGGAAACUGUCACUUACAAGGGCAUUGUUCUAUAUGAUCAUGCAGUGCCUGGGUGCUAUCUGUGGAGCUGGUGUGGUGAAGGGAUUCCAAGGAGAUAACCGAUAUGAG
Molecule: long non-coding RNA, 412 nt
Filed under: Gossypium raimondii (Peruvian cotton)
Lineage: Eukaryota; Viridiplantae; Streptophyta; Magnoliopsida; Malvales; Malvaceae
Description: long non-coding RNA (GRAI_LNC003229)
Source: RNAcentral